UCAGGAAAGGUUUGUUGAAUGGGGAACUAAGAAGUGAAUUCGUUCGUUCGACAAACGUUUCCUGAGCAGCCGCUGGGUGCUAGGCGCAGUGCCAGCGCGGAAUGUCCAGGGAGACCUGGUGCCCAAAGCUUGGACCCAUCGUGAGAAAUGAGAAGCAGAUACAAAGCAGUGUGGGAGUGCAGAGGAGACAAAGCAAGCCUCAUCAGGCCCAUUGCUUGCUCUGCUCUCCCUUGUACUUACCAGUGCUUGACAAUAUACAGUUAUUUACUAGCUUGGUUAUUGACUUCCUACCCAGCACUCAGUUUUAUUCACUGCUGUAUCCUCAGUGCCUAGGACGAUGCUUGGAACGUGGUAAGUGCUCCUAUUGGCGGGAAGAAUAAAUCCGGAAGAGCAGGACCAGUGGACUUGCUACAUAAUCUGUAGUCUUGGAGCCGCACAGGGUUGGUGGUACCCUCGAGCACACCAGACUUGCAGAAAAAGCAUACUCCAGAGGAAGCUGAGGCAUGCCUGCUCGAGAGCCAGCUGUUCCAUGUGCAAUUUUCCUCUGAUAGUUUCUGGUCACUGUUGCCACGGUGAUAAUGACUGGGCUAUGUCAUUAUCUAUCCGCCAACAGUAAGAGAAGCUUUGCAGUCGAGAUAUUGUUUAGCAGAUGGAGUGUUUUCUGUUGAACACUAAGUACUGCCACAAGUUACUUUUUUUUUUUUAAACUUUGAGUAUUUUUUUACAAUGUUGCUGGAGGUGAUCUGUUUAUGCUUUGAGAGUGUUCGAAUUUAAAAUCAGAAAAUCAUGUCAGUGAGUGAGUCUUUCAAAUAAUCCUUCGGCAUGAAACCUGAGCCUAGUAAACUAUGAAAGUAAACUCGGCACAUUACCCGAAAGUCUCAAUGUCAUAUUUUCACCCCCAUCAAUAUUAUUGAUGAUUGCUCAUUUUCUAAUGUGGGACCUGAAAUUUACCAGGUGCUUAAAGAAUCUUUUUGUUUUUCAGAUUCAUUGAUUCCAGGUAAAUCAGAGGAACAAGCAACAUGAACAGAAAUAUGUAGAAAAAGCUAUUAUGCAGAAGCAUAAUUGUUGUUUCAGAAGUCCAGCAUCUGGUGCACUUAACAAUAGAGAAUAUAUUAAACUCUUUCCAAAAUAACCUGUUGUUCCUACCUGUGUUACUGUAAAUUUCUUGAUGGCAAGAACCAUGUAACUGGUUUUUGUUAGAUUUCUGCAACUCAAGACCCAAUCCUGGGCAACUGUUGGACACUUAAACAUCCUUCAUCACUAGCUGCGUUCAUCACUAGGAAAAACCAAAAACCAGGAACAACCCGGAUGUCCUUCAACAAGGGAAGGGUGACCCAGCCCGUGAUGCAUCCGUCACACUGUGGAUUGCUGCUCAGCAACGAGGAGGCACAGACUCGAUACGGGAGCCAGCCUGGGUGACGCUCCAGAGAACUACCCUGAGUGGAGAAGGGCAGUCCCACCGUGUGAUUCCAUUAUUAUCACAUUCUUGAAAUGACAGAAUUAUAGAAAGGAGAACAGAGGAGUGGCUGCCAGAGUUUAAGGAGGGAAUGGGGAAAGGGGGAAGAGCAGCAUGC
Homo sapiens (human) is the source of this 1574-nucleotide long non-coding RNA. The record is from Ensembl. NCBI's taxonomy places the organism in Eukaryota, Metazoa, Chordata, Mammalia, Primates, Hominidae.